AACUGUAAGUAUUAUAUUUACAGCGCUUUCUGCUCAAUGAUAUUUAAAUAGCCGCAGUACUUUGACUGUGCAAAGGUAGCAUAAUAAUUUGGCUUUUAAUUGGGGUCUGGUAUGAAUGAAAAAUUGGGGAGAUUCUGUUUCAAAUUGUUUCUUUUAAUUUACUUAGUGGGUGCAAAUUCCUACAAUUAAAAAAAAGACGAGAAGACCCUUGAAAUUUGUAUACAUAUUAGUUUUGUUGGGGCGACAGGGUAACACUAUAACUUACUUUUAAUACAUGAUUUAUUAUAUAUAGAAAGAUAAAAUUACUCAAGGGAUAACAGCAUAAUUAAAAUUUAGUUUGUGACCUCGAUGUUGAAUUAGGAGAAUUAAACCCAGAAGGUUAAGAUUUUAGCUCUGUUCGAGCAAAUAAUCCUACGUGAUCUGGUUCCCAAACCGGA
RNAcentral lists this ribosomal RNA (437 nucleotides) under Satsuma largillierti. Its description in RNAcentral is "partial 16S ribosomal RNA". It matches the Rfam family "Archaeal large subunit ribosomal RNA", at positions 1921 to 2689 of the family's 2987-position model. Lineage: Eukaryota; Metazoa; Mollusca; Gastropoda; Stylommatophora; Camaenidae. The record is from RNAcentral.